CCCUUAGAUGUUCUGGGCCGCACGCGUGCUACACUGAGUGGAUCAGCGGGUCAGGUUGCGCGAAAGCGUUUCCUAAUCUUGAAAUCCGCUCGUGAUGGGGAUUGACGGUUGCAAUUUUCUGUCAUGAACGAGGAAUACCUUGUAAGCGCGAGUCAUCAUCCCGCGCUGAAUACGUCCCCGCCCUUUGUACACACCGCCCGUCGCUCCUACCGAUUGAGUGGUCCGGUGAGGCUUUGGGAUCUGAGCGGAAAGAGCGUUUCGCUCGUUCUGCCCGGAAAACUCAGUCGAACCUUAUCAUUUAGAGGAAGGAGAAGUCGUAACA
This 322-nucleotide ribosomal RNA is filed under the name uncultured eukaryote. RNAcentral describes it as "partial 18S ribosomal RNA". It matches the Rfam family "Eukaryotic small subunit ribosomal RNA", at positions 1470 to 1796 of the family's 1831-position model. The record is from RNAcentral.